Long non-coding RNA from Cervus elaphus (red deer), 637 nucleotides. RefSeq lists it as uncharacterized. NCBI's taxonomy places the organism in Eukaryota, Metazoa, Chordata, Mammalia, Artiodactyla, Cervidae. The record is from RefSeq and is a predicted model, not a curated record. The transcript is spliced from 4 exons.
CAGCCCCCCUGCCAGUUCUGGAAACACCCGCCUGACUAAGCGAGCACCGCAGAGGAGCAGGACCCAAAGGUAGUCUGCGGGUGAGCCCUCCACUCAGGGCGCAAGGUCCCGGGACCCGCCGGCGGAAAGGAGGAGACGGACCGCAGAGGACUCGUGGAAGAGGCAGAGGGUCUACUGCAUACAAGGGCUAAAGCUAGCUGAUGGCAACACAAGUGCUAUAGAGAACAGACUGCCGGUCCUCCUAGAACUUCCAUCCUAGGCAAGAAACGAAGCAGUUACAGAUCUCAGACUGUCACAGUGAUGCCAAGAAAAGGUGAAGUUGGAAGGAAACUUUUAUGGAAGCUUUUUUGGUCAUGGAAAUUCUUCAGUGUGGUGCUUGAAGUAAUCCUUCAGGACUAAAGGUACCAGAGCUGGGCUGUCACCCCAAUCAGUACUUCCUGCUGGAGCCUGGGAGACAGGAGAAAAUUCCACCCUGGGAGAGCUGGCAGGGGUGCUACUGUUCCUGCUCAAUCCAUUCCACGUGGGCCAACCCAAUUUGUGCUUAGAGGAGGGCUUCAGAUUGAAUUUCUUAGUGAGUCUAACCCAGACCUUUUUUUUUUUUUGCAUUUAUGACUGUGAAAAAAGUGGAGAAGACUGA